UACGGGAGGCAGCAGUAGGGAAUUUUCGGCAAUGGGCGAAAGCCUGACCGAGCAACGCCGCGUGAGUGAUGAAUGUCUUCGGAUUGUAAAGCUCUGUUGUAAGGGAAGAACUGCCAGGAUAGAAUCUUGGAAUGACGGUACCUUACCAGAAAGCCACGGCUAACUACGUGCCAGCAGCCGCGGUAAU
RNAcentral lists this ribosomal RNA (187 nucleotides) under uncultured rumen bacterium. RNAcentral describes it as "partial 16S ribosomal RNA". It matches the Rfam family "Bacterial small subunit ribosomal RNA", at positions 340 to 524 of the family's 1533-position model. The record is from RNAcentral.